CGGGACUGGCGGGGCUCGAACCCGCAGCUUCC
RNAcentral lists this transfer RNA (32 nucleotides) under Streptocarpus lilliputana. RNAcentral describes it as "partial tRNA-Asp". Lineage: Eukaryota; Viridiplantae; Streptophyta; Magnoliopsida; Lamiales; Gesneriaceae. The record is from RNAcentral.